This 1562-nucleotide ribosomal RNA is filed under the name Bacillus sp. JKS001846. RNAcentral describes it as "bacterial LSU rRNA". It matches the Rfam family "Bacterial large subunit ribosomal RNA", at positions 1 to 1555 of the family's 2925-position model. Lineage: Bacteria; Bacillati; Bacillota; Bacilli; Caryophanales; Bacillaceae. The record is from RNAcentral.
UGGUUAAGUUAGAAAGGGCGCACGGUGGAUGCCUUGACACUAGGAGUCGAUGAAGGACGGGACUAACGCCGAUAUGCUUCGGGGAGCUGUAAGUAAGCUUUGAUCCGAAGAUUUCCGAAUGGGGAAACCCACCAUACGUAAUGGUAUGGUAUCCUUAUCUGAAUACAUAGGGUAAGGAAGACAGACCCAGGGAACUGAAACAUCUAAGUACCUGGAGGAAGAGAAAGCAAAUGCGAUUUCCUGAGUAGCGGCGAGCGAAACGGAACAUAGCCCAAACCAAGAGGCUUGCCUCUUGGGGUUGUAGGACAUUCUAUACGGAGUUACAAAGGAACGAGGUAGACGAAGCGACCUGGAAAGGUCCGUCGUAGAGGGUAACAACCCCGUAGUCGAAACUUCGUUCUCUCUUGAAUGUAUCCUGAGUACGGCGGAACACGUGAAAUUCCGUCGGAAUCUGGGAGGACCAUCUCCCAAGGCUAAAUACUCCCUAGUGAUCGAUAGUGAACCAGUACCGUGAGGGAAAGGUGAAAAGCACCCCGGAAGGGGAGUGAAAGAGAUCCUGAAACCGUGUGCCUACAAAUAGUCAGAGCCCGUUAACGGGUGAUGGCGUGCCUUUUGUAGAAUGAACCGGCGAGUUACGAUCCCGUGCGAGGUUAAGCUGAAGAGGCGGAGCCGCAGCGAAAGCGAGUCUGAAUAGGGCGUUUAGUACGUGGUCGUAGACCCGAAACCAGGUGAUCUACCCAUGUCCAGGGUGAAGUUCAGGUAACACUGAAUGGAGGCCCGAACCCACGCACGUUGAAAAGUGCGGGGAUGAGGUGUGGGUAGCGGAGAAAUUCCAAUCGAACCUGGAGAUAGCUGGUUCUCCCCGAAAUAGCUUUAGGGCUAGCCUUAAGUGUAAGAGUCUUGGAGGUAGAGCACUGAUUGGACUAGGGGUCCUCAUCGGAUUACCGAAUUCAGUCAAACUCCGAAUGCCAAUGACUUAUCCUUAGGAGUCAGACUGCGAGUGAUAAGAUCCGUAGUCAAAAGGGAAACAGCCCAGACCGCCAGCUAAGGUCCCAAAGUGUGUAUUAAGUGGAAAAGGAUGUGGAGUUGCUUAGACAACUAGGAUGUUGGCUUAGAAGCAGCCACCAUUUAAAGAGUGCGUAAUAGCUCACUAGUCGAGUGACUCUGCGCCGAAAAUGUACCGGGGCUAAAUACACCACCGAAGCUGCGGAUUGAUACCAAUGGUAUCAGUGGUAGGGGAGCGUUCUAAGGACAGUGAAGUCAGACCGUAAGGACUGGUGGAGUGCUUAGAAGUGAGAAUGCCGGUAUGAGUAGCGAAAGACGGGUGAGAAUCCCGUCCACCGAAUGCCUAAGGUUUCCUGAGGAAGGCUCGUCCGCUCAGGGUUAGUCAGGACCUAAGCCGAGGCCGACAGGCGUAGGCGAUGGACAACAGGUUGAUAUUCCUGUACCACCUCUUUAUCGUUUGAGCAAUGGAGGGACGCAGAAGGAUAGAAGAAGCGUGCGAUUGGUUGUGCACGUCCAAGCAGUUAGGCUGAUAAGUAGGCAAAUCCGCUUAUCGCGUA